CGAGUGGCGGACGGGUGAGUAAUGUCUGGGAAACUGCCCGAUGGAGGGGGAUAACUACUGGAAACGGUAGCUAAUACCGCAUAACGUCGCAAGACCAAAGAGGGGGACCUUCGGGCCUCUUGCCAUCGGAUGUGCCCAGAUGGGAUUAGCUAGUAGGUGGGGUAACGGCUCACCUAGGCGACGGUCCCUAGCUGGUCUGAGAGGAUGACCAGCCACACUGGAACUGAGACACGGUCCAG
RNAcentral lists this ribosomal RNA (239 nucleotides) under uncultured bacterium. RNAcentral's name for it is "partial 16S ribosomal RNA". It matches the Rfam family "Bacterial small subunit ribosomal RNA", at positions 92 to 334 of the family's 1533-position model. The record is from RNAcentral.